This 492-nucleotide ribosomal RNA is filed under the name uncultured bacterium. RNAcentral describes it as "partial 16S ribosomal RNA". It matches the Rfam family "Bacterial small subunit ribosomal RNA", at positions 29 to 507 of the family's 1533-position model. The record is from RNAcentral.
AGUGAACGCUGGCGGUAGGCCUAACACAUGCAAGUCGAACGGCAGCACAGUAAGAGCUUGCUCUUACGGGUGGCGAGUGGCGGACGGGUGAGGAAUACAUCGGAAUCUACUUUUUCGUGGGGGAUAACGUAGGGAAACUUACGCUAAUACCGCAUACGACCUACGGGUGAAAGCAGGGGAUCUUCGGACCUUGCGCGAUUGAAUGAGCCGAUGUCGGAUUAGCUAGUUGGCGGGGUAAAGGCCCACCAAGGCGUCGAUCCGUAGCUGGUCUGAGAGGAUGAUCAGCCACACUGGAACUGAGACACGGUCCAGACUCCUACGGGAGGCAGCAGUGGGGAAUAUUGGACAAUGGGCGCAAGCCUGAUCCAGCCAUACCGCGUGGGUGAAGAAGGCCUUCGAGUUGUAAAGCCCUUUUGUUGGGAAAGAAAAGCAGCAGGUUAAUACCCCGCUGUUCUGACGGUACCCAAAGAAUAAGCACCGGCUAACUUCGUG